This 368-nucleotide long non-coding RNA is filed under the name Carica papaya (papaya). Its description in RNAcentral is "long non-coding RNA (CPAP_LNC002888)". Lineage: Eukaryota; Viridiplantae; Streptophyta; Magnoliopsida; Brassicales; Caricaceae. The record is from RNAcentral.
AUAACGAUAAUGUACGGGUACAUACUUAUCACUUUGCCAAUACACCCGAACAUGGAACGGUAUGUAUAGCCACAUUAAAGCCUUAACAUAAUACAGGUACUUUCAGAACAACUCCUUUUCAUAAUGAGUGAUGUACACAUAUCAAAAUCAUAUUUCAAAAACACAAAGCGAAAUAGCACUUAUAGUGAAGUAAAACUUUAACAAAUACUUACUUAGCAAAUAUGAAAGACAAAUUAAACACUUACACAUUUUUAUACUGAAAAUACAUAAAAUACUUUAAAACUACGUAGGCUAUGAAUCCAUAUUAUCCACUUACCUUAGGUACUUAGCUGUCAUAAUCUUAAUUCCAACAGAGUUUCGACUUUAUU